Molecule: ribosomal RNA, 433 nt
Filed under: uncultured bacterium
Lineage: Bacteria
Description: partial 16S ribosomal RNA
Rfam family: Bacterial small subunit ribosomal RNA
Source: RNAcentral
CCCUCCCUCUUUCUUCAUGCCUAACACAUGCAAGUCGAACGAGACCUUCGGGUCUAGUGGCGCACGGGUGCGUAACGCGUGGGAACCUGCCCUUAGGUUCGGAAUAACUCCCCGAAAGGGGUGCUAAUACCGGAUAAUGUCUUCGGACCAAAGAUUUAUCGCCUUUGGAUGGGCACGCGUUGGAUUAGCUAGUUGGUAGGGUAAAAGCCUACCAAGGCGACGAUCCAUAGCUGGUCUGAGAGGAUGAUCAGCCACACUGGGACUGAGACACGGCUCAGACUCCUACGGGAGGCAGCAGUGGGGAAUAUUGGACAAUGGGCGAAAGCCUGAUCCAGCAAUGCCGCGUGAGUGAUGAAGGCCUUAGGGUUGUAAAGCUCUUUUACCCGGGAUGAUAAUGACAGUACCGGGAGAAUAAGCUCCGGCUAACUCCGUG